This is a long non-coding RNA of Crotalus tigris (Tiger rattlesnake), 369 nucleotides long. RefSeq lists it as uncharacterized. The transcript is spliced from 3 exons. The record is from RefSeq and is a predicted model, not a curated record. NCBI's taxonomy places the organism in Eukaryota, Metazoa, Chordata, Lepidosauria, Squamata, Viperidae.
UGUUUCUUUCCUCCCCACCCUCCUUUGCUUCCAGAUUGUCCCCAUCGAUCAAGAGCGGAAUAAUCAUCACAACCCAGAAACCCUCGACGCAAGAGUGCGACACGCUAUCUAAGCAUGAAGAGCCGCUCCACAACUCCCCCCUUGCACGUCCACGUGGAUGAAAAUACCCCUGUCCAUGUCCAUAUUAAAAAGGGUCAGAAAACGCCACCGUCGGCAAAAACCCAGCAGAGGCACAAGCAGAAAAUGAAAGGGGAUACCGUGAAUGUGCGCCGCAGUGUCCGAGUAAAAACUAAAGUCCCCUGGAUGCCCCCAGGCAAAACAUCUUGCAGAGAAUCAUCGUACAAGUGGGAGGUAGGCGACCCCCGCCCC